Molecule: ribosomal RNA, 253 nt
Filed under: uncultured bacterium
Lineage: Bacteria
Description: partial 16S ribosomal RNA
Rfam family: Bacterial small subunit ribosomal RNA
Source: RNAcentral
UACAGAGGUCCCGAGCGUUGUUCGGAUUCACUGGGCGUAAAGGGUGCGUAGGCGGUCGGGUAAGUCUGAUGUGAAAUCUCACAGCUUAACUGUGAAACUGCAUUGGAUACUAUUCGGCUUGAGAGUUGGAGGGGGGACUGGAAUUCUCGGUGUAGCAGUGAAAUGCGUAGAUAUCUGGAAGAACACCAAAGGCGAAGGCAGCAUUCUGGCUCGUACCUGACGCUCAUGUGCGAAAGCUAGGGGAGCGAACGGG